CAGGACCAGGUGGGGGUGUUCUAGACAAUUCCACGGGGCCUCAUCCUCUGUACAUGUCUCACGCGUGCUCCAGCUGUGGCCGUUUCCCCAGACAGUCACAUCUCAGGUGAAAUGGAGGGGGAACACGCGGCUUUCCUCAUCUAACGUCCAAAUGUUCUGUAUCAUUAUAAUCAUGCAAGUUAUCUAGUUCAUCUAAGUUGGCCAUCACAGUGUGUAAGAAUUAGUUUCUAUCUUCUUAAGAUAAAUGAUUUGGAUCCUGAGUGAUAAAAAGAAAUCCCUAGUAAUUCUGAAGGCCGUGUAAACAGCGAACGAAAGGAGAGAGGGAAAAUAAUCCCGGCUGCCUGGAAGCGAGAGGCAGCCACAGACGCACCGUUCCGGAAACCGCGGGAGGUGACCGGGAAGCCCCAGAGGCGGCCACAGACGCACCGUUCCGGAAACCGCGGGAUGUGACCUGGAAGCCCUAGAGGCGGCCACAGACACACCUUUCCGGAAACCGCGGGAGGUGACCGGGAAGACCCAGAGGCGGCCACAGACACACCGUGCCGGAAACCGCGGGAUGUGACUGGGAAGCCCUAGAGAGUGACUGGAACCGGAAACCAUUACAGGCUUGUACCACGCAGGCAUUGACAUUAGGAUGCGAAGUGUCUGAUUGGAGGGUUUCCUUGUAGCUGCAGUAACAAUGGAAAUACAUUUUGAAAAAUCAGUUUUAAUAAAGCCCAGGCACUGACCCCAGCCACUAACUGGAUUCCAGAUGGCUCCAUGAACCAAGUUAGAUUAUGAAAGUCAAUGAAAAUCAUUUCAAGGACUUCAGUUGGAGCUGUGCAGGAAGAAAAAAAUCCAAGUUUUUCACAGGACUGGGUGCUUAAGUAUUGUGGAGAGAGAAAGUAAAUGAAUUCUUAUCCAA
Macaca mulatta (Rhesus monkey) is the source of this 904-nucleotide non-coding RNA. NCBI's taxonomy places the organism in Eukaryota, Metazoa, Chordata, Mammalia, Primates, Cercopithecidae. The record is from RefSeq and is a predicted model, not a curated record.